UAAUCCCUGGGGGACCACCUAUGGCGAAGGCAUCUCACCAGAACGGCUCCGACAGUGAGGGACGAAAGCUGGGGGAGCGAACCGGAUUAGAUACCCGGGUAGUCCCAGCCGUAAACUAUGCGCGUUAGGUGUACCGGUGACCACGAGUCACUGGGGUGCCGAAGGGAAACCGUGAAACGUGCCGCCUGGGAAGUACGGUCGCAAGGCUGAAACUUAAAGGAAUUG
Molecule: ribosomal RNA, 225 nt
Filed under: uncultured Methanomicrobiales archaeon
Lineage: Archaea; Methanobacteriati; Methanobacteriota; Methanomicrobia; Methanomicrobiales
Description: partial 16S ribosomal RNA
Rfam family: Archaeal small subunit ribosomal RNA
Source: RNAcentral